AGAGUUUGAUCCUGGCUCAGAUUGAACGCUGGCGGAAUGCUUUACACAUGCAAGUCGAACGGCAGCACGGGAGCUUGCUCCUGGUGGCGAGUGGCGAACGGNNNNNNNNNNNNNNNNNNNNNNNNNNNNNAUGGGGGAUAACUAGUCGAAAGAUUGGCUAAUACCGCAUACGCCCUGAGGGGGAAAGCGGGGGAUCGUAAGACCUCGCGUUAUUAGGGCGGCCGAUUUCUGAUUAGCUAGUUGGUGGGGUAAAGGCCUACCAAGGCGACGAUCAGUAGCCGGCCUGAGAGGGUGAACGGCCACACUGGGACUGAGACACGGCCCAGACUCCUACGGGAGGCAGCAGUGGGGAAUCUUCCGCAAUGGACGAAAGUCUGACGGAGCAACGCCGCGUGUAUGAUGAAGGUCUUCGGAUUGUAAAGUACUGUCUUUGGGGAAGAACGGUAUGCUUGAAAAUAUUGAGCGUACAUGAGGUAAGAUAUGAAUAAGCACCGGCUAACUCCGUGCCAGCAGCCGCGGUAAUACGGAGGGUGCAAGCGUUGUUCGGAAUUAUUGGGCGUAAAGCGCGUGUAGGCGGUUUGUUAAGUCUGGUGUGAAAGCCCUGGGCUCAACCUGGGAAGUGCAUUGGAUACUGGCAGACUUGAAUACGGGAGAGGGUAGUGGAAUUCCUAGUGUAGGAGUGAAAUCCGUAGAUAUUAGGAGGAACACCGGUGGCGAAGGCGGCUACCUGGACCGAUAUUGACGCUGAGACGCGAAAGCGUGGGUAGCAAACAGGGAUUAGAUACCCUGGUAGUCCACGCCGUAAACGAUGAGUGCUAGGUGUAGAGGGUAUCGACCCCUUCUGUGCCGCAGUUAACACAAUAAGCACUCCGCCUGGGGAGUACGGCCGCAAGGUUGAAACUCAAAGGAAUUGACGGGGGCCCGCACAAGCGGUGGAGCAUGUGGUUUAAUUCGACGCAACGCGAAGAACCUUACCAGGGCUUGACAUCCUACGAAUUCUUAGGAAACUAGGGAGUGCCCUUCGGGGAGCGUAGAGACAGGUGGUGCAUGGUUGUCGUCAGCUCGUGUCGUGAGAUGUUGGGUUAAGUCCCGCAACGAGCGCAACCCCUGUGUUUAGUUGCUAACGAGUAAGGUCGAGCACUCUAGACAGACUGCCGGUGAUAAACCGGAGGAAGGUGGGGAUGACGUCAAAUCAUCAUGCCCCUUAUGUCCUGGGCUACACACGUGCUACAAUGGCCGGUACAGACGGAAGCAAAGCCGCGAGGUGGAGCAAAUCCGAGAAAGCCGGUCUCAGUUCGGAUUGCAGGCUGCAACUCGCCUGCAUGAAGUCGGAAUCGCUAGUAAUCGCAGGUCAGCAUACUGCGGUGAAUACGUUCCCGGGCCUUGUACACACCGCCCGUCACACCACGAAAGUCUGCAACACCCGAAGCCGGUGAGGUAACCCGAAAGGGAGCUAGCCGUCGAAGGUGGGGCCGAUGAUUGGGGUGAAGUCGUAACAAGGUAACC
Molecule: ribosomal RNA, 1506 nt
Filed under: uncultured bacterium
Lineage: Bacteria
Description: bacterial SSU rRNA
Rfam family: Bacterial small subunit ribosomal RNA
Source: RNAcentral